RNAcentral lists this ribosomal RNA (115 nucleotides) under Gemmatimonadota bacterium. Lineage: Bacteria; Pseudomonadati; Gemmatimonadota. The record is from RNAcentral.
UCGGUGGCUAUGGCGCGGGGGAUCACCCGAUCCCAUUCCGAACUCGGAUGUUAAGCCCCGCUGCGCGGAUGGUACUGCCGGGUUACCCCGGUGGGAGAGUACGUCGCCGCCGAUC